Molecule: ribosomal RNA, 1070 nt
Filed under: Bacillus subtilis
Lineage: Bacteria; Bacillati; Bacillota; Bacilli; Caryophanales; Bacillaceae
Description: bacterial SSU rRNA
Rfam family: Bacterial small subunit ribosomal RNA
Source: RNAcentral
GCUUCGGCUACCACUUACAGAUGGACCCGCGGCGCAUUAGCUAGUUGGUGAGGUAACGGCUCACCAAGGCAACGCGUAGCCGACCUGAGAGGGUGAUCGGCCACACUGGGACUGAGAACUCCUACGGGAGGCAGCAGUAGGGAAUCUUCCGCAAUGGACGAAAGUCUGACGGAGCAACGCCGCGUGGUGAUGAAGGUUUUCGGAUCGUAAAGCUCUGUUGUUAGGGACCGUUCGAAUAGGGCGGUACCUUGACGGUACCUAACCAGAAAGCCACGGCUAACUACGUGCCAGCAGCCGCGGUAAUACGUAGGUGGCAAGCGUUGUCCGGAAUUAUUGGGCGUAAAGGGCUCGCAGGCGGUUUCUUAAGUCUGAUGUGAAAGCCCCCGGCUCAACCGGGGAGGGUCAUUGGAAACUGGGGAACUUGAGUGCAGAAGAGGAGAGUGGAAUUCCACGUGUAGCGGUGAAAUGCGUAGAGAUGUGGAGGAACACCAGUGGCGAAGGCGACUCUCUGGUCUGUAACUGACGCUGAGGAGCGAAAGCGUGGGGAGCGAACAGGAUUAGAUACCCUGGUAGUCCACGCCGUAAACGAUGAGUGCUAAGUGUUAGGGGGUUUCCGCCCCUUAGUGCUGCAGCUAACGCAUUAAGCACUCCGCCUGGGGAGUACGGUCGCAAGACUGAAACUCAAAGGAAUUGACGGGGGCCCGCACAAGCGGUGGAGCAUGUGGUUUAAUUCGAAGCAACGCGAAGAACCUUACCAGGUCUUGACAUCCUCUGACAAUCCUAGAGAUAGGACGUCCCCUUCGGGGGCAGAGUGACAGGUGGUGCAUGGUUGUCGUCAGCUCGUGUCGUGAGAUGUUGGGUUAAGUCCCGCAACGAGCGCAACCCUUGAUCUUAGUUGCCAGCAUUCAGUUGGGCACUCUAAGGUGACUGCCGGUGACAAACCGGAGGAAGGUGGGGAUGACGUCAAAUCAUCAUGCCCCUUAUGACCUGGGCUACACACGUGCUACAAUGGACAGAACAAAGGGCAGCGAAACCGCGAGGUUAAGCCAAUCCCACAAAUCUGUUCUCAG